GAAUGUUAUCACGGGAGACACACGGCGGGUGCUAACGUCCGUCGUGAAGAGGGAAACAACCCAGACCGCCAGCUAAGGUCCCAAAGUCAUGGUUAAGUGGGAAACGAUGUGGGAAGGCCCAGACAGCCAGGAUGUUGGCUUAGAAGCAGCCAUCAUUUAAAGAAAGCGUAAUAGCUCACUGGUCGAGUCGGCCUGCGCGGAAGAUGUAACGGGGCUAAACCAUGCACCGAAGCUGCGGCAGCGACGCUGAUGCGUUGUUGGGUAGGGGAGCGUUCUGUAAGCCUGCGAAGGUGUGCUGUGAGGCAUGCUGGAGGUAUCAGAAGUGCGAAUGCUGACAUAAGUAACGAUAAAGCGGGUGAAAAGCCCGCUCGCCGGAAGACCAAGGGUUCCUGUCCAACGUUAAUCGGGGCAGGGUGAGUCGACCCCUAAGGCGAGGCCGAAAGGCGUAGUCGAUGGGAAACAGGUUAAUAUUCCUGUGCUUGGUGUUACUGCGAAGGGGGGACGGAGAAGGCUAUGUUGGCCGGGCGACGGUUGUCCCGGUUUAAGCGUGUAGGCUGGUUUUCCAGGCAAAUCCGGAAAAUCAAGGCUGAGGCGUGAUGACGAGGCACUACGGUGCUGAAGCAACAAAUGCCCUGCUUCCAGGAAAAGCCUCUAAGCAUCAGGUAACAUCAAAUCGUACCCCAAACCGACACAGGUGGUCAGGUAGAGAAUACCAAGGCGCUUGAGAGAACUCGGGUGAAGGAACUAGGCAAAAUGGUGCCGUAACUUCGGGAGAAGGCACGCUGAUAUGUAGGUGAAGUCCCUCGCGGAUGGAGCUGAAAUCAGUCGAAGAUACCAGCUGGCUGCAACUGUUUAUUAAAAACACAGCACUGUGCAAACACGAAAGUGGACGUAUACGGUGUGACGCCUGCCCGGUGCCGGAAGGUUAAUUGAUGGGGUCAGCGCAAGCGAAGCUCUUGAUCGAAGCCCCGGUAAACGGCGGCCGUAACUAUAACGGUCCUAAGGUAGCGAAAUUCCUUGUCGGGUAAGUUCCGACCUGCACGAAUGGCGUAAUGAUGGCCAGGCUGUCUCCACCCGAGACUCAGUGAAAUUGAACUCGCUGUGAAGAUGCAGUGUACCCGCGGCAAGACGGAAAGACCCCGUGAACCUUUACUAUAGCUUGACACUGAACAUUGAGCCUUGAUGUGUAGGAUAGGUGGGAGGCUUUGAAGUGUGGACGCCAGUCUGCAUGGAGCCGACCUUGAAAUACCACCCUUUAAUGUUUGAUGUUCUAACGUGGACCCGUAAUCCGGGUUGCGGACAGUGUCUGGUGGGUAGUUUGACUGGGGCGGUCUCCUCCUAAAGAGUAACGGAGGAGCACGAAGGUUGGCUAAUCCUGGUCGGACAUCAGGAGGUUAGUGCAAUGGCAUAAGCCAGCUUGACUGCGAGCGUGACGGCGCGAGCAGGUGCGAAAGCAGGUCAUAGUGAUCCGGUGGUUCUGAAUGGAAGGGCCAUCGCUCAACGGAUAAAAGGUACUCCGGGGAUAACAGGCUGAUACCGCCCAAGAGUUCAUAUCGACGGCGGUGUUUGGCACCUCGAUGUCGGCUCAUCACAUCCUGGGGCUGAAGUAGGUCCCAAGGGUAUGGCUGUUCGCCAUUUAAAGUGGUACGCGAGCUGGGUUUAGAACGUCGUGAGACAGUUCGGUCCCUAUCUGCCGUGGGCGCUGGAGAACUGAGGGGGGCUGCUCCUAGUACGAGAGGACCGGAGUGGACGCAUCACUGGUGUUCGGGUUGUCAUGCCAAUGGCACUGCCCGGUAGCUAAAUGCGGAAGAGAUAAGUGCUGAAAGCAUCUAAGCACGAAACUUGCCCCGAGAUGAGUUCUCCCUGACUCCUUGAGAGUCCUGAAGGAACGUUGAAGACGACGACGUUGAUAGGCCGGGUGUGUAAGCGCAGCGAUGCGUUGAGCUAACCGGUACUAAUGAACCGUGAGGCUUAACCUUACAACGCCGAAGCUGUU
This 1996-nucleotide ribosomal RNA is filed under the name Escherichia coli. Its description in RNAcentral is "partial 23S ribosomal RNA". It matches the Rfam family "Bacterial large subunit ribosomal RNA", at positions 967 to 2925 of the family's 2925-position model. Lineage: Bacteria; Pseudomonadati; Pseudomonadota; Gammaproteobacteria; Enterobacterales; Enterobacteriaceae. The record is from RNAcentral.